Molecule: ribosomal RNA, 450 nt
Filed under: uncultured bacterium
Lineage: Bacteria
Description: bacterial SSU rRNA
Rfam family: Bacterial small subunit ribosomal RNA
Source: RNAcentral
UCAAGAAACUUCCACAAUGGGCGAAAGCCUGAUGGAGCGACGUCGCGUGAUGGACGAAGUGCUUCGGCACGUAAACAUCUUUUAUGUCGGAUGAAAUUAUUGACAGUACCACAUGAAUAAGGGGCUCCUAACUCUGUGCCAGCAGGAGCGGUAAUACAGAGGCCCCAAGCGUUAUCCGGAAUCACUGGGCGUAAAGGGUGUCGAGGCGGUUGUAUUAGUCGUUCGUAAAAUCUACGAGCUUAACUUGUAGGCGGCGAACGAAACGGUACGACUUGAGGUUUGGAGAGGUGCGUGGAACUCACGGUGUAGGGGUGAAAUCCGUUGAUAUCGUGGGGAACACCAAAGGCGAAGGCAGCGCACUGGCCAAAAUCUGACGCUCACACACGAAAGCUAGGGUAGCGAAGAGGAUUAGAUACCCUCGUAGUCCCUGAGCGGGCUGGCAAGGCGCAU